AUGAAAGCAGUUAAACUGGGAUACAAAUGGUCUGUUGGGAAUGGUAGAUCUGUUAGGUUUUGGGAGGAUAUUUGGUUCGGUAACUCCCCACUUGCCACCCAGUUCUGGGAUUUGUAUUGUAUAGUUAAUGAGAAAAACAAAACCAUUGCAGAUACCUGGGAUGGAGAUAUCCUAAAAAUUUCCUUUAGAAGGAAUUUUGAUGAGGUGUUAAUGCAACAAUGGUUUGAUCUAGAAUCCGUUGCCAAAUCGAUUACUUUUACUGACCAGGAAGAUAAUUUGAUUUAG
RNAcentral lists this ribosomal RNA (285 nucleotides) under Triticum aestivum (bread wheat). Its description in RNAcentral is "partial small subunit ribosomal RNA". The record is from RNAcentral. Lineage: Eukaryota; Viridiplantae; Streptophyta; Magnoliopsida; Poales; Poaceae.